This 255-nucleotide ribosomal RNA is filed under the name uncultured bacterium. Its description in RNAcentral is "partial 16S ribosomal RNA". It matches the Rfam family "Bacterial small subunit ribosomal RNA", at positions 524 to 777 of the family's 1533-position model. The record is from RNAcentral.
UACGAAGGGGGCUAGCGUUGCUCGGAAUCACUGGGCGUAAAGCGCACGUAGGCGGGUUCUUAAGUCAGGGGUGAAAUCCUGGAGCUCAACUCCAGACUGCCUUUUGAUACUGGGAAUCUCGAGUCCGGGAGAGGUGAGUGGAACUGGCGAGUGUAGAGGUGAAAUUCGUAGAUAUUCGGAGGAACACCAGUGGCGAAGGCGGCUCACUGGUCCAUUACUGACGCUGAGGUGCGAAAGCGUGGGGAGCAAACAGGG